GUGUAGGAAGGAAGAUGUUAGCACUGUCCUGACAAGAAUGAAAGAGGCCCUUGGGCCUAUUCAGCAAAUAGUAUGGUUCAGGGAUUGGUUCCUACUUCAUGGCAUGACCCAUGAUUUUAU
Molecule: small nuclear RNA, 120 nt
Organism: Camelus dromedarius (Arabian camel)
Lineage: Eukaryota; Metazoa; Chordata; Mammalia; Artiodactyla; Camelidae
Source: Ensembl